This 44-nucleotide non-coding RNA is filed under the name Alexandrium minutum. The record is from RNAcentral. Lineage: Eukaryota; Dinophyceae; Gonyaulacales; Pyrocystaceae.
UGAAAAAAAAAAAAAAAAAAAAAAAAAAAAAAAAAAAAAAAAAA